This 498-nucleotide long non-coding RNA is filed under the name Homo sapiens (human). RNAcentral's name for it is "HSALNT0370867". Lineage: Eukaryota; Metazoa; Chordata; Mammalia; Primates; Hominidae. The record is from RNAcentral.
UAACAUAAUAUCAACCGGAGGCCCGAGUUAAAACAGAAGGUGCUGCUUUGCCUCCAGAAUAUUUGUGUGGUGAUCCUCUAAUUUUUCAAGCGAUGGGCUAUAGGAUGAGGACCUGCCAGGGCCAAGAAGACACAUUUCAGAAGGAGGCUCUUAAAGGCCAAGCCAAGAAGCAAGAGCACGGAUUUACAUCUCAUUGGCUGAGGGUGCUCCAGGAAUUUCUCACACAGGUCAGCACCCACAUCCUCUAGUGGCUUGUAGGGAGGAUGCACCCAGCCACCCAUUUUCUCCUUUUGUACACAGGGGUCUUUGUUCCCAAGUUCUAAAAUGUUGGCUCAGCUCCAGUCAGAUUUAGAGAGUGCCAUGCAGCUGAUGCUGUGGCCUCCAGCUGCUAGGAUUAUAUUUUAAUCAUCUAAAUCCACGGCCUCCCAACGUGUGUCCACACCCCAUGCUGGUCGAGCUACUUCAGAAUCACGGAAGGCACUUCCCAUAAAUAUGAAU